AUUCAAUAUUUACUAUGUGCCAGGAUCUGUUCUAAGAGUUUCAUAUGUUUUAACUCAUCUAAUUUUAACAAUCUUAUGAGGUAUGCACUUUAUUUUCCUUGUUUUCAAAUGUUGAGACUAAGGUACAGAGAGGUCAAGUAACUUGCCCAAAGUCACACAACUAUCAAGGAGCAGAGCUGAGGUUUGAUGUCACAGAGGGGUCAAGAUACAGUCAUAUUUAUUAAACAGGUAAGGUUGGCCGGGCACGGUGGCUUAUACUGGUAAUCCCAGCACUGAUCACCUGAGGUCAGGAGUUUGAGAUCAGCCUGGCCAACAUGCCUACUUCAUGCUUUGAACAGAAGAGUUUUAUCAGUUUUAAAUGUUUCUUCAUUUCUAUACCUUCUUUUAUCUGAGGAGCUUAAGCCAUUUUGUAGAGGCAUUAAGUAUUGCCUCAGUCUUAAUAUGUGAGACAAGGUGUGAGGAAUAUAGAGAUUCAUAAAAUAAUCCCCAUCUUCAAGGAACUCACAGUCAGGAAGAACAGAGCCUGCAACACAAAUAAUUGCAAUAUAGUAGAAGUGCCAAUAGGAGCUCUAUGAAGGGCGUGAAACAGGAAAGGCUACAUAGAGGAGAUGGCAGGUGAGGAAUAAGGAGUUACUAUUCUACUGGGGCAUCAUUUCAGUGUAUGCGUGGGCAUACCUGUGGCAUUAUUGCCCAGCCCCAAUCUGUCUCCCCACAACCUGUGGGAACUUUGAAGGCUAACCAGUGUGUUUUAUUUUGAUGUUUGGUAGGCUGCUUUGAUGAUGUAGUUUAUGACAGAAAUGUAAGCAACAGUUUCUAAUGGACAUCUAUUGCCUUUUCCUUAUCCAGCCUCUCUUUAUCCCAGACUCCUCCCCUGCAAUCUCCCUCUUAGAGACCGCCUCUCUGCCCUCUCAACCCAGAGCUAGGCAUGUGACUAAAGCUUGGCUAAUCAAAGCAUCCAGUGCCUUUGACCACAGUAAGAGCUGGAAGACUGAGCACAUGGCCUCUUCAGAGCCACAGAGAUGGAAGAGAAUUUUUUGCUGAAACUUCUGGGAAAGAAAUUAACUUUCCUGCUGGACUUUAUUCAUGGGAAUAUGCUUCAGCCAUAUUCCAAGGGAGAUCAGGACAAACAUGGUGGGCAAUAAUGCUAAGAGAGAUUGGUCUUUCCUGGUGUCAUUAAUUUGGCCCCAGAUCAAGCUGUGCCAGCAGCUAGGACAAUCCUUGGCUUUUUCUACUAUAUAAGCUGAUGAAGCCCCUUUUUGCUUAGGCCAGUUUGGAUUGGCUUUUGAGUUUUUACUCACCCGUGGUUAAUAGAUCUAGAAAUGUUUAUGCUGAAGGGGAAAACAGCCAAGAGAAACACUAAUGCAUUCCAAAUAUUUCAAGGAUAUUAGGUAGAAAAAAUAUUAGAAUAUUCUGUGUGUCCCAAUUGGUAGAACCAGAAUUAGUGGGUAGAAGUUUCAGGUGGUCAGAUUUCAGGUCAAAGUAAGAAACAGCUUUUUAACUCUUAGGGUUCUUUCCCAACGAUUCAAUGUGAAGAAAUGAACACUUUUCUAAGUUUCUUCUAAAACAAGGAGAGUGGAAGGAACAUAGCAGCUGCCCCCAUGUUAAAAGCACCUCGAAAUGAUCCAAGGCAAUUUAAAAAAAGUUGUCUGAUUACCUUUACUAAUGCAUUGAGAUUUAAAUACCAGGGCUUUCAUUUAGCUUUCCGUUCCUCUGUGUCGAAGAGGAUGUGGUUACUUACUUACUCUUAUUUCUCUAGACACUCUGUGGAUUGUGACCUGUUGGUGGGCCAUGAAAUCAAUUUGGGGGUUUGAGAGCAUCAUUCUUUUAAUAAAACAGAAGAGAAUCAUCUGCAAUAAGGAACCCAUGGAUGAAUACCAUCUGGUCCUGGUGAUUUACUGCACAGAGUCCCUCAAGUUGCUCCAUACCUUUCUCCUGAGAGACUGAAGAAUCUCUGUCAAGGCCGUUCUCUGCUUUGCCAUAAAAUGUGUCCUUGGAACAAGAAUUUCCCCAUUGUCUUCUUCAAUA
RNAcentral lists this long non-coding RNA (2025 nucleotides) under Homo sapiens (human). RNAcentral describes it as "HSALNT0292829". The record is from RNAcentral. Lineage: Eukaryota; Metazoa; Chordata; Mammalia; Primates; Hominidae.